AUUGAACGCUGGCGGCAGGCUUAACGCAUGCAAGUCGAGCGGUAGCACAAGAGAGCUUGCUCUCUGGGUGACGAGCGGCGGACGGGUGAGUAAUGUCUGGGAAACUGCCUGAUGGAGGGGGAUAACUACUGGAAACGGUAGCUAAUACCGCAUAACGUCGCAAGCCCAAAGAGGGGGACCUUCGGGCCUCUUGCCAUCAGAUGUGCCCAGAUGGGAUUAGCUAGUAGGUGGGGUAAUGGCUCACCUAGGCGACGAUCCCUAGCUGGUCUGAGAGGAUGACCAGCCACACUGGAACUGAGACACGGUCCAGACUCCUACGGGAGGCAGCAGUGGGGAAUAUUGCACAAUGGGCGCAAGCCUGAUGCAGCCAUGCCGCGUGUGUGAAGAAGGCCUUCGGGUUGUAAAGCACUUUCAGCGAGGAGGAAGGUGGUGAACUUAAUACGUUCAUCAAUUGACGUUACUCGCAGAAGAAGCACCGGCUAACUCCGUG
RNAcentral lists this ribosomal RNA (490 nucleotides) under uncultured bacterium. RNAcentral describes it as "partial 16S ribosomal RNA". It matches the Rfam family "Bacterial small subunit ribosomal RNA", at positions 30 to 507 of the family's 1533-position model. The record is from RNAcentral.